GAUGAACGCUGGCGGCGUGCCUAAUACAUGCAAGUCGAGCGAACGGACGAGAAGCUUGCUUCUCUGAUGUUAGCGGCGGACGGGUGAGUAACACGUGGAUAACCUACCUAUAAGACUGGGAUAACUUCGGGAAACCGGAGCUAAUACCGGAUAAUAUUUUGAACCGCAUGGUUCAAAGGUGAAAGACGGUCUUGCUGUCACUUAUAGAUGGAUCCGCGCUGCAUUAGCUAGUUGGUAAGGUAGCGGCUUACCAAGGCAACGAUGCAUAGCCGACCUGAGAGGGUGAUCGGCCACACUGGAACUGAGACACGGUCCAGACUCCUACGGGAGGCAGCAGUAGGGAAUCUUCCGCAAUGGGCGAAAGCCUGACGGAGCAACGCCGCGUGAGUGAUGAAGGUCUUCGGAUCGUAAAACUCUGUUAUUAGGGAAGAACAUAUGUGUAAGUAACUGUGCACAUCUUGACGGUACCUAAUCAGAAAGCCACGGCUAACUACGUG
Molecule: ribosomal RNA, 497 nt
Filed under: uncultured bacterium
Lineage: Bacteria
Description: partial 16S ribosomal RNA
Rfam family: Bacterial small subunit ribosomal RNA
Source: RNAcentral